RNAcentral lists this ribosomal RNA (406 nucleotides) under uncultured bacterium. RNAcentral describes it as "partial 16S ribosomal RNA". It matches the Rfam family "Bacterial small subunit ribosomal RNA", at positions 29 to 526 of the family's 1533-position model. The record is from RNAcentral.
AUUGAACGCUGGCGGCAGGCCUAACACAUGCAAGUCGAACGAGUGGCGGACGGGUGAGUAAUGUCUGGGAAACUGCCCGAUGGAUGGGGAUAACUACUGGAAACGGUAGCUAAUACCGCAUACCAUCGGAUGUGCCCAGAUGGGAUGAGCUCGUAGGUGGGGUAACGGCUCACCUAGGCGACGAUCCCUAGCUGGUCUGAGAGGAUGACGAGCCACACUGGAACUGAGACACGGACCAGACUCCUACGGGAGGCAGCAGUGGGGAAGAUUGCACAAUGGGCGAAAGCCUGAUGCAGCCAUGCCGCGUGGAGGAAGAAGGACUUCGGGUUGUAAAGUACUUUAAGCGGGGAGGCGUUAGCCGCAGAAGAAGAACCGGCUAACUCCGUGCCAGCAGCCGCGGUAAUUC